AGGACAAGAAGGCCAUGCUGGACAACAAAGGCUCUAUGACCCAGUAAAUUCAAAGCAGGGCUCGAGAUGGCUCACUCCUCAAAGAACACAUGACAGCAAACAGACAAGCAUUUACCCGGGGCAAAAGGCCCAUCUGUGCUCCUAGACCCAUGCCCUAUAAGGAGAUCCCCCACCUUCUUCUUGCCAUCAGAACCAGAUAUACCACCUGAUGGGUGCACUUUACACCACAGCAUGAGGGGAAGAGUGGCCUGAAGCCCAAAGAACUGGCAUGGACCACACUCCUCCCCAGCCACACCAAAAAGGUACCAUCUCCUGACACACAAUCUGAUGGCAAGGCCCCACAGGGACACUAUAGUGGCUGAGCGUACGGUGGGCCUAACGGGGAGGCCACCCAGAGAAAAGGCACGCAGGCCUGACCUGUCUG
This 424-nucleotide long non-coding RNA is filed under the name Homo sapiens (human). RNAcentral's name for it is "HSALNT0053125". The record is from RNAcentral. Lineage: Eukaryota; Metazoa; Chordata; Mammalia; Primates; Hominidae.